Molecule: ribosomal RNA, 460 nt
Filed under: uncultured bacterium
Lineage: Bacteria
Description: partial 16S ribosomal RNA
Rfam family: Bacterial small subunit ribosomal RNA
Source: RNAcentral
CCUACGGGUGGCAGCAGUGAGGAAUAUUGGUCAAUGGCCGUAAGCCUGAACCAGCCAAGUCGCGUGCAGGAUGAAGGAUCUAUGGUUUGUAAACUUCUUUUAUAGGGGAGUACAGGUAUCCACGUGUGGAUUUUUGCAUUUACCCUAUGAAUAAGCAUAGGCUAACUCCGUGCCAGCAGCCGCGGUAAUACGGAGGAUGCGAGGGUUAUCCGGAUUUAUUGGGUUUAACGGGUGCGUAGGUUGUGUUUUAAGUCCGCGGUGAAAUUUUGUGGCUCAAACAUAGAAUCGCCGUUGAAACUGGAAGACUUGAGUGUGUUUGAGGUAGGCGGAAUGCGAGGUGUAGCGGUGAAAUGCAUAGAUAUAACGAAGAACACCGAUUGCGAAGGCAGCUUACUAGGCCAUAACUGACACUGAAGCACGAAAGCGUGGGGAUCAAACAGGAUUAGAUACCCCGGUAGUC